Molecule: ribosomal RNA, 497 nt
Filed under: uncultured bacterium
Lineage: Bacteria
Description: partial 16S ribosomal RNA
Rfam family: Bacterial small subunit ribosomal RNA
Source: RNAcentral
GACGAACGCUGGCGGCGUGCCUAAUACAUGCCAGUCGAGCGAACAGAUGCGGAGCUUGCUCCUCUGACGUUAGCGGCGGACGGGUGAGUAACACGUGUAUACCCUACCUAUAAGACUGGGAUCACUUCGGGAAACCGGCUCUAAUACCGGAUAAUAUAUUGAUCCGCAUUGUUCAAUAGAGAAAUACGGCUUUGCUGUCACGUCUCGAUGGUUCCCCGCUGCAUGAGAUAGUUGGUAAGGUAACGGCCUACCAAGGCAACGAGGCGUAACCGACCUGAGAGGGUGAUCGGCCACACUGGAACGGGGCCACGGACCAGAGGCCUACGAGAGGCAGCAGUAGGGAAUCGGCCGCAAUGGGCGAAAGCAUGACGGAGCAACGCGGCGUGAGUGAUGAAGGUGUUCGGAGCGUAAAACUCGGUUAUUAGGGAAGAACAAAUGUGGAAGUAACUGUGCACGGCUUGACGGUACCGGAUAAGAAAGCCACGGCUAACUACGUG